This 455-nucleotide long non-coding RNA is filed under the name Carica papaya (papaya). RNAcentral describes it as "long non-coding RNA (CPAP_LNC010347)". The record is from RNAcentral. Lineage: Eukaryota; Viridiplantae; Streptophyta; Magnoliopsida; Brassicales; Caricaceae.
GCGAUCCACUCAAAGAGGCCGUUGCAAAUGAUCUUGUGUGCCUCUGCAACCUCUUCAAUGAUCCUUCAUUCUUUUCCACCUUCAAUGUCACUGUCGAUGAGGCUCUCCGUCUAGCCAAAAACUGCGGUGUCACCUCCGAUCUCUCCUCCUGCAACGGUAAUUUUCUAAAUUCGCAUUUGCUAUUUGUAAAUCAAACUAACAAAAUUAUCCUUGUGAGCUUCGGGGUUCAAAUCAAGUAGAUAAAAUUCCAGAAAAAAGGACUCCCUUAUGUCCUUGUAACUGUUUGUAGAUUACCUACAAGAUCUUCCUAAAAGGAGAGACAGUAUUAUAAUUGAUUGAUUGCUUUCUUGGAUUGAUGUUUCAGCUUUCUCAUUAUGCAUAUCUUCAAAAACGCAAAAAGGACAAAAAGAGGAAAAUCUGUUGUUAAAUUAAGUUUGAUUAAUUGACUAAUUAUU